Molecule: transfer RNA, 90 nt
Filed under: Thiogranum sp.
Lineage: Bacteria; Pseudomonadati; Pseudomonadota; Gammaproteobacteria; Chromatiales; Ectothiorhodospiraceae
Description: tRNA-Ser
Rfam family: tRNA
About the family: Transfer RNA (tRNA) molecules are approximately 80 nucleotides in length. Their secondary structure includes four short double-helical elements and three loops (D, anti-codon, and T loops). Further hydrogen bonds mediate the characteristic L-shaped molecular structure. tRNAs have two regions of fundamental functional importance: the anti-codon, which is responsible for specific mRNA codon recognition, and the 3' end, to which the tRNAs corresponding amino acid is attached (by aminoacyl-tRNA synthetases). tRNAs cope with the degeneracy of the genetic code in two manners: having more than one tRNA (with a specific anti-codon) for a particular amino acid; and 'wobble' base-pairing, i.e. permitting non-standard base-pairing at the 3rd anti-codon position.
Source: RNAcentral
GGAGAGGUGGCUGAGCGGUUGAAAGCACCGGUCUUGAAAACCGGCGAGGGUGUGAGCCCUCCGUGGGUUCAAAUCCCACCCUCUCCGCCA